RNAcentral lists this unclassified non-coding RNA (147 nucleotides) under soil metagenome. RNAcentral describes it as "partial internal transcribed spacer 1". The record is from RNAcentral.
CCGAGUUUACAACUCCUAAACCCCUGUGAACAUACCUAUAUGUUGCCUCGGCGGAUCAGCCCGCGCCCCGUAAAACGGGACGGCCCGCCGCAGGAUCCACAAACUCUGUUUUUAUUGUAACUUCUGAGUAACAAAACAAAUAAAUCA